Molecule: long non-coding RNA, 387 nt
Organism: Andrographis paniculata
Lineage: Eukaryota; Viridiplantae; Streptophyta; Magnoliopsida; Lamiales; Acanthaceae
Exons: 3
Source: RefSeq, a predicted model, not a curated record
CAUCCACUGCGGCAGCUCACCGCCGCUUCCUUCGUCUACGGACAUCAAAUCAUUUGUCUUCCAAUGUGAUUCUUUAGUCGACACGACACGAGUGGAGAAUGGAGAAGCAUUCAUAGUAGUUCCGGUAGAGCAUCGUCGUUUGCACCUGGCGAGGUGGAAUGCUACUGUGGAAUGAAAUCGAUAUUCCGUACUUCAUGGACGGUCGAAAAUCCUGGGAAGAGAUUCAAUUGUUGUAUCAAAUCGAAGAGAGGAACACGCUCCGGGUGCAGUUUUUUUUGUGGGAAGAUCUUCAUAUGUGUCCUCGAGCCAAGGUUAUUAUCCUGGGUUGUUAAAGAAGAUGAAUGAUCGAGAGGCCAAAAUUAUGAAUUUGAAGCAAAAAGUUAAGGA